Long non-coding RNA from Homo sapiens (human), 605 nucleotides. RefSeq annotates it as long independently transcribed non-coding RNA 1473. The record is from RefSeq and is marked validated. Lineage: Eukaryota; Metazoa; Chordata; Mammalia; Primates; Hominidae. The transcript is spliced from 6 exons.
AUGAAACUGAAUCUGAGGAAAAGAAGAAAGCUGAAAACACACUGAGGAUUAUGGGAGAGGGGCAAGUGCAUGAAGCUUCUCAAUGACAUACAGACACUCUAAAAGCUCAAGAGAUCAAUUAUUCAACUUCAAGAACUGAAAUUUGAACACAGAUUUUGAGCUUCCAAAUCAGGAGAAAAAGAAGUGUUCUAUAAGAAGUUUGGACAAGACUCUGCAAGAAGUUAAGAGCAGGUCCUUAAAGGCAACUGUGAAUUAACGGAGACUAGUUUUGAGAAAAUCAGUCCUGAUUUGUUUCUCCUGGAGUUUUCUUCUUUAUGUGAUCCUUCAUAAAAGCUGCUAAUAUGGGAAAGAUUGAAAUCAGCAAGUUUCUGGCUGUAAGCUAAAAGAGGCUCUUGAAUCAUAUUUCCGCCUGCUUAGCAAAUUUCUCUUGCGACAAUUGGAUGUUAUUUGGGGUUCCAUACUAGCAGGAAGAAGUACAAGCAAAGCUAAGUCAUUUUGAGAAUAAAUAUUAUCUCUCUAUAUAUUUGUAAAUGUUAUUUUCUUUUUUUUUGAGGUUUAUGAUUGAUCCUUGGCAUGUGUCCCCUUGUGUAUUGCUCUACUAAAAA